This 554-nucleotide ribosomal RNA is filed under the name Massilia agri. RNAcentral describes it as "bacterial SSU rRNA". It matches the Rfam family "Bacterial small subunit ribosomal RNA", at positions 331 to 873 of the family's 1533-position model. Lineage: Bacteria; Pseudomonadati; Pseudomonadota; Betaproteobacteria; Burkholderiales; Oxalobacteraceae. The record is from RNAcentral.
UGGGGGCCCUACGGGAGGCAGCAGUGGGGAAUUUUGGACAAUGGGCGCAAGCCUGAUCCAGCAAUGCCGCGUGAGUGAAGAAGGCCUUCGGGUUGUAAAGCUCUUUUGUCAGGGAAGAAACGGCUGCGGCUAAUAUCUGGGGCUAAUGACGGUACCUGAAGAAUAAGCACCGGCUAACUACGUGCCAGCAGCCGCGGUAAUACGUAGGGUGCAAGCGUUAAUCGGAAUUACUGGGCGUAAAGCGUGCGCAGGCGGUUUUGUAAGUCUGACGUGAAAGCCCCGGGCUCAACCUGGGAAUUGCGUUGGAGACUGCAAGGCUUGAAUCUGGCAGAGGGGGGUAGAAUUCCACGUGUAGCAGUGAAAUGCGUAGAGAUGUGGAGGAACACCGAUGGCGAAGGCAGCCCCCUGGGUCAAGAUUGACGCUCAUGCACGAAAGCGUGGGGAGCAAACAGGAUUAGAUACCCUGGUAGUCCACGCCCUAAACGAUGUCUACUAGUUGUCGGGUUUUAAUUAACUUGGUAACGCAGCUAACGCGUGAAGUAGACCGCCGCGAC